RNAcentral lists this ribosomal RNA (472 nucleotides) under uncultured bacterium. RNAcentral describes it as "bacterial SSU rRNA". It matches the Rfam family "Bacterial small subunit ribosomal RNA", at positions 355 to 825 of the family's 1533-position model. The record is from RNAcentral.
UGGGGAAUAUUGGACAAUGGGCGAAAGCCUGAUCCAGCCAUGCCGCGUGUGUGAAGAAGGUCUUCGGAUUGUAAAGCACUUUAAGUUGGGAGGAAGGGCAGUUACCUAAUACGUGAUUGUUUUGACGUUACCGACAGAAUAAGCACCGGCUAACUCUGUGCCAGCAGCCGCGGUAAUACAGAGGGUGCAAGCGUUAAUCGGAAUUACUGGGCGUAAAGCGCGCGUAGGUGGUUAGUUAAGUUGGAUGUGAAAUCCCCGGGCUCAACCUGGGAACUGCAUUCAAAACUGACUGACUAGAGUAUGGUAGAGGGUGGUGGAAUUUCCUGUGUAGCGGUGAAAUGCGUAGAUAUAGGAAGGAACACCAGUGGCGAAGGCGACCACCUGGACUGAUACUGACACUGAGGUGCGAAAGCGUGGGGAGCAAACAGGAUUAGAUACCCCCGUAAUCCCUGAGCGGGCUGGCAAGGCGCAU